CCUACGGGAGGCAGCAGUGGGGNAAUUUUGGACAAUGGGCGAAAGCCUGAUCCAGCAAUGCCGCGUGCAGGAUGAAGGCCUUCGGGUUGUAAACUGCUUUUGUACGGAACGAAAAAGCUUCUCCUAAUACGAGAGGCCCAUGACGGUACCGUAAGAAUAAGCACCGGCUAACUACGUGCCAGCAGCCGCGGUAAUACGUAGGGUGCGAGCGUUAAUCGGAAUUACUGGGCGUAAAGCGUGCGCAGGCGGUUAUGUAAGACAGAUGUGAAAUCCCCGGGCUCAACCUGGGAACUGCAUUUGUGACUGCAUGGCUAGAGUACGGUAGAGGGGGAUGGAAUUCCGCGUGUAGCAGUGAAAUGCGUAGAUAUGCGGAGGAACACCGAUGGCGAAGGCAAUCCCCUGGACCUGUACUGACGCUCAUGCACGAAAGCGUGGGGAGCAAACAGGAUUAGAUACCCUGGUAGUCCACGCCCUAAACGAUGUCAACUGGUUGUUGGGAAUUAGUUUUCUCAGUAACGAAGCUAACGCGUGAAGUUGACCGCCUGGGGAGUACGGCCGCAAGGUUGAAACUCAAAUGAAUUGACGGGG
Molecule: ribosomal RNA, 588 nt
Filed under: uncultured Delftia sp.
Lineage: Bacteria; Pseudomonadati; Pseudomonadota; Betaproteobacteria; Burkholderiales; Comamonadaceae
Description: bacterial SSU rRNA
Rfam family: Bacterial small subunit ribosomal RNA
Source: RNAcentral